This 253-nucleotide ribosomal RNA is filed under the name uncultured bacterium. RNAcentral's name for it is "partial 16S ribosomal RNA". It matches the Rfam family "Bacterial small subunit ribosomal RNA", at positions 524 to 776 of the family's 1533-position model. The record is from RNAcentral.
UACGUAGGGUGCGAGCGUUGUCCGGAAUUACUGGGCGUAAAGAGCUCGUAGGUGGUUUGUCGCGUUGUUCGUGAAAACUCACAACUCAAUUGUGGGCGUGCGGGCGAUACGGGCAGACUGGAGUACUGCAGGGGAGACUGGAAUUCCUGGUGUAGCGGUGAAAUGCGCAGAUAUCAGGAGGAACACCGAUGGCGAAGGCAGGUCUCUGGGCCAUAACUGACGCUGAGAAGCGAAAGCAUGGGGAGCGAACAGG